CAGUCGCCACGGUAACACAGAGGGUGCGAGCGUUAAUCGGAUUUACUGGGCGUAAAGCGUGCGUAGGCGGCUUUUUAAGUCGGAUGUGAAAUCCCUGAGCUUAACUUAGGAAUUGCAUUUGAUACUGGGAAGCUAGAGUAUGGGAGAGGAUGGUAGAAUUCCAGGUGUAGCGGUGAAAUGCGUAGAGAUCUGGAGGAAUACCGAUGGCGAAGGCAGCCAUCUGGCCUAAUACUGACGCUGAGGUACGAAAGCAUGGGGAGCAAACAGGAUUAGAUACCCCUGUAGUCCCUGUCUCUUAUAC
RNAcentral lists this ribosomal RNA (301 nucleotides) under uncultured bacterium. RNAcentral's name for it is "partial 16S ribosomal RNA". It matches the Rfam family "Bacterial small subunit ribosomal RNA", at positions 509 to 807 of the family's 1533-position model. The record is from RNAcentral.